GACGAACGCUGGCGGCGUGGAUUAGGCAUGCAAGUCGAACGGUAUCAUCCUUUCGGGGGUGAGAGAGUGGCGAACUGGUGAGUAACACGUAGGUGAUCUACCCUCAAGAUUGGGACAACCCAGGGAAACUUGGGCUAAUACCGGAUGAAAGCAGCAGUGAUGUUGUUUGAAAGGUGGCGUAAGCUGCCGUUUGGGGAUGAGCCUGCGCUCUAUUAGUUAGUUGGCGGGGUAAAGGCCCACCAAGGCGAUGAUAGAUAGGCGGCCUUAACGGGUGGUCGCCCACACUGGGAUUGAGAUACGGCCCAGACUCCUACGGGAGGCAGCAGUCGAGAAUAGUCUACAAUGGCCGAAAGGCUGAUAGUGCGACGCCGCGUGAACGAAGAAGCCCUUCGGGGUGUAAAGUUCUUUUAUAUGUGAGCAGUGCUUUCUAUGUGAACAGCAUGGGGAAGAGAUAUUAGCAUAUGAAUAAGCAAACGGCUAAACUCCGUGCC
RNAcentral lists this ribosomal RNA (491 nucleotides) under uncultured bacterium. RNAcentral describes it as "bacterial SSU rRNA". It matches the Rfam family "Bacterial small subunit ribosomal RNA", at positions 28 to 509 of the family's 1533-position model. The record is from RNAcentral.